CAAUAGCGUAUAUUAAAGUUGUUGCAGUUAAAAAGCUUGUAGUUGGAUUUCUGGCGUACGGUGUGUUCCGGGCACUUGUUGUCUGAGUAACCUGCUGUUGCCAUCCUUGGGUGGAACCUGUGUGGCAUUAGGUUGUCGUGCAGGGGAUGCCCAUCAUUUACUGUGAAAAAAUUAGAGUGUUCAAAGCAGGCUUAUGCCGUUGAAUAUAUUAGCAUGGAGUAAUGAGAUAGGACUUUUUUGCUAUUUUGUUGGUUUGCGCAAAGAGGUAAUGAUUAAUAGGGACAGUUGGGGGUAUUCGUAUUCCAUUGUCAGAGGUGAAAUUCUUGGAUUUUUGGAAGACGAACUACUGCGAAAGCAUUUACCAAGGAUGUUUUCAUUAA
This 380-nucleotide ribosomal RNA is filed under the name uncultured eukaryote. Its description in RNAcentral is "partial 18S ribosomal RNA". It matches the Rfam family "Eukaryotic small subunit ribosomal RNA", at positions 592 to 976 of the family's 1831-position model. The record is from RNAcentral.